GGUAGAUUAUUCCAGAUAAAUAUUCAGCAGGCUGAAGUAAGUGGCUAGACCACAGGUAUUUGGAGGCUCUAAACAUGGUGUAUGCACUGCCUGACUAAAAUAGCUUCUCAACAGCUCUUGUAUGUGUUUUCAGGGAAGAUAUCCUCCUGAUUAAGGACCUCAGGUCACUUGUGGAAAGGUCAGCCAACAUCUUGUUCUCAUUCAAAGACGGAGAGACGAGGUCCUGAGCAUCACAGCUGACUGUGUUCAUUGUGUGUGCGAGUGGGAACAGCUGGACAUUGUCUAACAAUCAUCCUUAUGGGCACAGGCCACAUCUGAGCAGCUAAGCAGCCUCUAAGGUCCUCCAGAUUCCCUUUCUACAGGAAAUGAAAGCAAUCUGGUCUGGAAGAUAAAAGCAAUAUAUUCUGUAAACAGGAAAAGUCAGUCUUAUGGGAAUUGCUGUUAAUAUGGCAGUGCUGGGCACUGCUUCCAGCCAGUUAAACCACCCAUGCUGUCAGAUGGUACUGGGGCUGUGUCCCCCACCAGGAACACAGGACCACAAGGCAUGUGGUGUCAAUGACAUGGACACCCACCUUGCAGUGCACCACGCACCUCCAGCUUUCUCCUGUCCCUAUUUGGAUUAUUUCCAUCACUACCCAGACUCAAAAUUCUCAGAAUUAAAACAUGCCAUUAGUAGUCAGUUCAGCACAUCAUGCCCUGAAGUGCAGUCAGGAUGACUCAUAGUGCAAUUUUCUUGUCCAGCUCUUGUAUUGAGAACCAUAAAUCAGUGGGGUCACUGUCUUAGCUUUUGUCUUGUUGUCCCCAUAAUAUUUCUACUUGCACAUCAUAUGCCUUAAAGGACUCUAGACAUCCAUGCCCCUGGUCUUUCUGAAAGUCUCUGGACUUUGAAUACUUACAUGCAAAUGGGGUCACCAUACCACAGAUCAUUAACUAGCAUUGAAUCCUUUAAAUAUCACUUGCAGUAGAAGAUCCUAAGGGUCAUUCUCAUUCCUCUGUGAAUUUAUCCCACAGCUAAAAUUCAUGCUUUGUUUUUUUUUUAAAGUGCAACAGUAGCCAAAGUGCACACUUUCAUCUGUUAACCUUAUAUUGAUGGAGACAGGACAAACAGUGCUAAAUUCCAACCUGAGUUCAACCUGUUCUCUUCAGUGUAGAUGAAUGUACAGAGCUGGGAACUCACUUUGACUCAAGCAUGAGAAAUAGCAAAGAUGUGUAAAAAACACCUGUGAUUAUGUAUGAAUUGCACAUAUGAAAAAUUAUGGUAAUGCAAGUCUAUCCAUCAAGAAAAUGACAGCCUACAGAAAGUGUAACUUUCAGCCUCCUUCUUUCCCAUCAGUGACAUGAAUUGUUUUGUAAACAUUGGCUGACCACUCACUACAUUGACUGCCUACAGAGCUUCUCUUCAGAUUCAUGCUCCCAUUAAAAGGCUUAAAAAAAUUGUGGAGGCAAGGAAUGUACUUGACUACUGAAUUACUUUGGCAUGAAGGAUCUCUCUGUAACAAGAAAUGU
This is a non-coding RNA of Cyanistes caeruleus (blue tit), 1506 nucleotides long. NCBI's taxonomy places the organism in Eukaryota, Metazoa, Chordata, Aves, Passeriformes, Paridae. The record is from RefSeq and is a predicted model, not a curated record.